Molecule: ribosomal RNA, 461 nt
Filed under: uncultured bacterium
Lineage: Bacteria
Description: bacterial SSU rRNA
Rfam family: Bacterial small subunit ribosomal RNA
Source: RNAcentral
ACGAACGCUGGCGGCGUGCUUAACACAUGCAAGUCGAACGGUGACGCACCUUCGGGUGCUGAUCAGUGGCGAACGGGUGAGUAACACGUGGGCAACCUGCCCCUGACUCUGGGAUAACCCCUCGAAAGAGGAGCUAAUACCGGAUACCACCUCCCGCGGCAUCUCGGGAGGUCGAAAGUUUUUCGGUCAGGGAUGGGCCCGCGGCCUAUCAGCUAGUUGGUGGGGUGACGGCCUACCAAGGCGACGACGGGUAGCCGGCCUGAGAGGGCGACCGGCCACACUGGGACUGAGACACGGCCCAGACUCCUACGGGAGGCAGCAGUGGGGAAUAUUGCGCAAUGGGCGAAAGCCUGACGCAGCAACGCCGCGUGAGGGAUGACGGCCUUCGGGUUGUAAACCUCUUUCAGCGGGGACGAAGCGAAAGUGACUGUACCCGCAGAAGAAGCGCCGGCUAACUACGU